This 660-nucleotide ribosomal RNA is filed under the name uncultured Vibrionaceae bacterium. Its description in RNAcentral is "bacterial SSU rRNA". It matches the Rfam family "Bacterial small subunit ribosomal RNA", at positions 1 to 646 of the family's 1533-position model. Lineage: Bacteria; Pseudomonadati; Pseudomonadota; Gammaproteobacteria; Vibrionales; Vibrionaceae. The record is from RNAcentral.
UAGAGUUUGAUCAUGGCUCAGAUUGAACGCUGGCGGCAGGCCUAACACAUGCAAGUCGAGCGGAAACGAGUUGUUUGAACCUUCGGGGGACGACAACGGCGUCGAGCGGCGGACGGGUGAGUAAUGCCUGGGAAAUUGCCCUGAUGUGGGGGAUAACCAUUGGAAACGAUGGCUAAUACCGCAUGAUAGCUUCGGCUCAAAGAGGGGGACCUUCGGGCCUCUCGCGUCAGGAUAUGCCCAGGUGGGUUUAGCUAGUUGGUGAGGUAAGGGCUCACCAAGGCGACGAUCCCUAGCUGGUCUGAGAGGAUGAUCAGCCACACUGGAACUGUGACACGGUCCAGACUCCUACGGGAGGCAGCAGUGGGGAAUAUUGCACAAUGGGCGCAAGCCUGAUGCAGCCAUGCCGCGUGUAUGAAGAAGGCCUUCGGGUUGUAAAGUACUUUCAGCAGUGAGGAAGAUGGUGUGUUUAAUACGUACAUCAUUUGACGUUAGCUGCAGAAGAAGCACCGGCUAACUCCGUGCCAGCAGCCGCGGUAAUACGGAGGGUGCGAGCGUUAAUCGGAAUUACUGGGCGUAAAGCGCAUGCAGGUGGUUUGUUAAGUCAGAUGUGAAAGCCCGGGGCUCAACCUCGGAAUAGCAUUUGAAACUGGCAGACUAGAG